Long non-coding RNA from Homo sapiens (human), 497 nucleotides. Lineage: Eukaryota; Metazoa; Chordata; Mammalia; Primates; Hominidae. The record is from Ensembl.
UUAUGUUCUGGGAUUUACAACUUCAGGGAGACAAAGGAAACUCCAGCUCAUCUCCCACAUCAUUGAUUGAGAGGACCAUUUUCUGACUGUCUGCACACGUUUCCUAUACUACCCUUUAAUGCAACAAUGGGAUGAAGAGAUGAAGACUUCUAGCAGGCUACCUCAGAAAGGUUGCUGACCAAAGGCUGUAUGGACCAAAAAGUCAUAACACCACCCUGGAUGAAAGGACAUUUACCUAAGGAAUUACCCGCUCUCAAUUCUUCCCAGGUGCAUGUAGUAUAGAUUAAAUAAGGUGGUUGUAUGGCAACAGAGACAUUAUUAGAAACAUUCUUCUUGAAGUUUGACAACAAAGCAGUAGAUGUGUAUCUACUACAGAGUUGUUAGUGAAAAAAGGUAUGUUUGAAGUAAUCAAUUGGUAUUCAUUUUAAACAGUAAUGGUCUUACUGAAGCUAAGUUUAAUACAUGCUGUGUUUGGAAGUAAUUUCUUUACCACUGUG